AUAACACACGUACAAAUCUUUUUCUUUCCUCGUUUUCUUUCUAGUUAAGUUUGGGGUAAUCCAUACAUUUGUAUUCUAGUUGGCACUGAUAUUGAAGGUUUUCUGCAUUUUGUGUGAGUGUUUCUUCAUGUACUUCUCCUUCUCCUCCUCAACACAGCAUGUCCCUGUGUGGGAGACAGAAUGAUUGAUCAGACAGGAGAGAGGGGCCUGUUCCCAUAGAGACCGCAGGCUUCGCUAAGAAGAUGGCCCUGGUCUCUGAGCAGGCACACAGCCUGUCCACUGCCCCAGAAUUGAGCCAAUCUCUACCACAGUGUGGUACCAAGUACUGCUGAUCCCAGGCAUACAGGAUGUACUGUGUCCGUCCAAACACCAGCAGAAGAACUGGGGCCUGCUGGUUCCGGGGCAGAAAAAGGUGUUGUAUGAGUAUGAGGAAUUUAUCCACCUGCUGCCAAACCAGAGAGUAGUGGCAUCGUGGCACCAAGCCUCAGGAGAGGAGAGAAAACAGCUCGGGUGUCAGAAGAGACAACUUAGGAAACUAGGGCCGACUAGUAGGAUCUCAGUUUUGUGAUAACAUCGUAGCCACUCAUGCACAACAAACAUGCUCAAUGCCGGAUCCUCAGGGACUCAUUUACCUCCCUGAGAACUCUCCUCUUCCUCACAAGCUCUACGUCACCGCCGCCUCUGCUGGGAUUUGAGUCUGGUCCCGAGCAUAGAGAUGUGGAGGAGUGAGAGGGAGUCUGGGGAUUAGGCUGCUGCUGCUGCUGAGAGAUGCCUGAGGAGCAGGAGGCCCAGAAGAGGCCGGCACCACCCUCUGCUGUGAAAGGGUUUCAGACUCAAUGGACACUGGCAUCUGAGAGCUGAGAGCUGAGAGCUGAAGAUGGAUAUCAGUAUCACCUGGAGAAAAUGGCGAGGGAAAGAGACUGGGGAAGGAGAAGGUCAAAGAACCUUAGACAGCAUGGGAGGG
Long non-coding RNA from Clupea harengus (Atlantic herring), 964 nucleotides. NCBI's taxonomy places the organism in Eukaryota, Metazoa, Chordata, Actinopteri, Clupeiformes, Clupeidae. The record is from Ensembl.